GACGAACGCUGGCGGCGUGCCUAAUACAUGCAAGUAGAACGCACAGUUUAUACCGUAGCUUGCUACACCAUAGACUGUGAGUUGCGAACGGGUGAGUGACGCGUAGGUAACCUGCCUGGUAGCGGGGGAUAACUAUUGGAAACGAUAGCUAAUACCGCAUAAUAUUAAUUAUUGCAUGAUAAUUAAUUGAAAGGUGCAAUUGCACCACUACCAGAUGGACCUGCGUUGUAUUAGCUAGUAGGUGAGGUAACGGCUCACCUAGGCGACGAUACAUAGCCGACCUGAGAGGGUGAUCGGCCACACUGGGACUGAGACACGGCCCAGACUCCUACGGGAGGCAGCAGUAGGGAAUCUUCGGCAAUGGACGAAAGUCUGACCGAGCAACGCCGCGGGAGUGAAGAAGGUUUUCGGAUCGUAAAGCUCUGUUGUAAGAGAAGAACGGGUGUGAGAGUGGAAAGUUCACACUGUGACGGUAUCUUACCAGAAAGGGACGGCUAACUACGUG
Molecule: ribosomal RNA, 505 nt
Filed under: uncultured bacterium
Lineage: Bacteria
Description: partial 16S ribosomal RNA
Rfam family: Bacterial small subunit ribosomal RNA
Source: RNAcentral